This 1948-nucleotide ribosomal RNA is filed under the name marine metagenome. RNAcentral describes it as "bacterial LSU rRNA". It matches the Rfam family "Bacterial large subunit ribosomal RNA", at positions 1 to 2012 of the family's 2925-position model. The record is from RNAcentral.
UCAAGCGCGAAAAGGGCGUUUGGUGAAUGCCUUGGCAGUAAGAGGCGAUGAAAGACGUGAUACUCUGCGAUAAGCCAUGAGGAGCUGAGAAUAAGCUUUGAUCCAUGGAUCUCUGAAUGGGGCAACCCACCUAAUACUGUGUUAUUACUAUCCACGAGGCCUUCGGGUCGAAAUGGCUGGCUAAUAAUGCGGUAAACUAGGUACUUCUAACCUGAAUACAUAGGGUUAAAAGAGCAAACCCGGGGAACUGAAACAUCUAAGUACCCGGAGGAAAGGAAAUCAAUAGAUACUCCCCUAGUAGCGGCGAGCGAACGGGGACCAGCCGAGCCGUAAUUGUGAUUAGAAGUCGUUGGAAUGCGACACCAUAGUGGGUGAUAGUCCCGUAUAAGAAGCAUGAUCGGACGUAUUAAGUAGGGCGGAACACGUGAAAUUCUGUCUGAACAUCGGAGGACCACCUUCGAAGGCUAAGUACUCCUUACUGACCGAUAGUGAACCAGUACCGUGAGGGAAAGGUGAAAAGCACCCCGACGAGGGGAGUGAAACAGUACCUGAAACCGAACGCCUACAAUCAGUUGGAGGGCCCUUGCGGCCUGACAGCGUACCUUUUGUAUAAUGGGUCAUCGACUUGGUCUAUCUAGCAAGCUUAAGCCGUUAGGUGUAGGCGCAGCGAAAGCGAGUCUUAAUAGGGCGAAUGAGUUCGUGGGAUCAGACCCGAAACCGAGUGAUCUAGGCAUGACCAGGAUGAAGGUAAGGUAACACUUACUGGAGGUCCGAACCCACACCUGUUGAAAAAGGUCGGGAUGAGUUGUGCCUAGGGGUGAAAGGCCAAUCAAACUCGGAGAUAGCUGGUUCUCUGCGAAAUCUAUUUAGGUAGAGCGUCAUCCGAAUACCCCGGGGGGUAGAGCACUGGAUGGGCAAUGGGGGCUUACCGCCUUACUGACCCUAACCAAACUCCGAAUACCCGGGAGUACUAGAUGGCAGACACACUGUGGAUGCUAACGUCCAUAGUGAAGAGGGAAACAACCCUAACCUACAGCUAAGGCCCCUAAUUCAUGGCUAAGUGGGAAAGCAGGUGGGACGACCAAAACAACCAGGAAGUUGGCUUAGAAGCAGCCAUCUUUUAAAGAUAGCGUAACAGCUCACUGGUCUAAAUAAGUUGUCCUGCGGCGAAGAUGUAACGGGGCUCAAGCCAUGAGCCGAAGCUUAGGAUGCACAUAGUGCAUGGUAGCAGAGCGUAGUGUGACAUAAUUCCAUGCGUCCUUACCAUCCUUCGGGGUGGAUUGGACGCAAGGAAUUUUCGAUGAAGCCGGCCUGUGAGGGAUCCGGUGGAGAGAUCACUAGUGAGAAUGAUGACAUGAGUAGCGACAAACAGGGUGAGAGACCCUGUCGCCGAAAGUCCAAGGGUUCCUGCUUAAAGCUAAUCUGAGCAGGGUAAGCCGACCCCUAAGGCGAGGCCGAAAGGCGUAGUCGAUGGGAACCAGGUUAAUAUUCCUGGGCCAGGUGGUAGUGACGGAUCUCGAGGGUAGUUCAUCCUUAUCGGAUUGAAUGGGCUGCUUAGAGGUUCCAGGAAAUAGCUCCACCAUGAGAUCGUACCCUAAACCGACACAGGUGGACUGGUAGAGAAUACCAAGGCGCUUGAGAGAACGAUGUUGAAGGAACUCGGCAAAAUACCUCCGUAAGUUCGCGAGAAGGAGGCCCAGUUUCUACGCAAGUAUUGACUGGGGGCACAAACCAGGGGGUGGCGACUGUUUACUAAAAACACAGGGCUCUGCGAAGUCGCAAGACGACGUAUAGGGUCUGACGCCUGCCCGGUGCCUGAAGGUUAAAAGGAGGAGUGCAAGCUCCGAAUUGAAGCCCAGGUAAACGGCGGCCGUAACUAUAACGGUCCUAAGGUAGCGAAAUUCCUUGUCGGGUAAGUUCCGACCUGCACGAUUCUCGCAACGCCAUC